CGGAGUUUGGCAACUGGUAUGAGGCUGACUAUGUAAUUUUCCAAAGCAAAUACUAAUAUUCUUGUGUGUGUGUGUUGUGAAAAAAUUUUGUUCAUGGAAUAUGCUGAUUCAUGAACGCUUAAUGAUUAUAUUAAUAAAAGAAUGGUUGAAAGUUAGGAACAAGCUCAAUGUUCCCUCUGAAGAUCCCAAUGUCGAUUUUGGAUGUUUCUUGACUGCGGAACUAACUAUCCAAUUAGAAAACAAUAUAUAUCUUUGAAAGUUAAUAAAAUACUUUCCCCCUAUUUUCAUGUGAUUUUCCAUUAAACUUCCAGUGCUGAAGUUAUAGCAUAUUCCCAAAAACUUCCAAGUAAUCUUAGGAUUUGCAAUUCCAUCAUUGAUCAACAUCAUAUUGUGGAGUCAUGUCAUAUUCAUUUGAUGAAUCUACCCACUGCCUUGCUAAUAAGAGGGACAUUCUUUUAAUUGCUUACUGUGCUUUGCUGUUAUGCUAACAGCUUGUGCAGAUGGAGUGGUCAGG
RNAcentral lists this unclassified non-coding RNA (514 nucleotides) under Hevea brasiliensis (rubber tree). The record is from RNAcentral. Lineage: Eukaryota; Viridiplantae; Streptophyta; Magnoliopsida; Malpighiales; Euphorbiaceae.